GAAAAAAGUUCUAAUUUUCAAUCAAAAAUUCUCAAGUGAAGAUAUCAGAUUUUUUUAAAAAGUCAGUAAGCUUUGUACUUUCUCAUUACUGAAAACUGGGAAACCGAUUAACCUAGGAAAGUAAUUUCUUGCUGCUCCCGACUUUCUAACACCAUCAUAGUUUGGCAGACUAUCAAAAUGGUUGCGGUUACACACUAUUCCCACAACAGUUAUUUCUACGUUAUCGGAAUCGAUUUGAAUUCCAAGGGCUGUAAUUUUGUGUGACUGCAAUGUUUUGUUUUGAUCGAUUAAUAUUACGAUGAUCCACAUUUUGGGGACAAAACUGAUGUGCUGCGCAUAAGAAAAAACCUUCGUGAUCACUCAAAUCCAUUCGAACUUCCUAAUAUCAAAAUCAAAAGUUAUUUUCGUUUAAAUAAGGAAUCAUUUUAUUUUUUACUAAAUGAGAUGAAGUAACGUUACCACAAACUCAAGAAGGCAUUUUAAAUUAUGAUAUUUUAACUUUGAGCUGAAGAAAUCUAUAAUAUCUAUGUGCGAAAAUUGGCGAAAUCGGAUUACAACUACGCUUAUUUCCCAUAUAACAUCAUUUUAAAUUCCAUCUGAUUCUUUCAUUUUCCACUAUGCAAAUCAAGCAAC
Long non-coding RNA from Bactrocera oleae (olive fruit fly), 633 nucleotides. RefSeq lists it as uncharacterized. The record is from RefSeq and is a predicted model, not a curated record. Lineage: Eukaryota; Metazoa; Arthropoda; Insecta; Diptera; Tephritidae.